UGCUUAACACAUGCAAGUCGAACGGAAACGCGAAGAGCUUGCUCUUUGGCGUCGAGUGGCGGACGGGUGAGUAACGCGUGGGAAUCUACCCAGUAGUGGAGGACAGCCAGGAGAAAUCCUGAUUAAUACUGCAUACGAUCUACGGAUGAAAGGUGGCCUCUGUUUACAUGCUAUCGCUAUUGGAUGAGCCCGCGUUAGAUUAGCUAGUUGGUGGGGUAAGAGCCUACCAAGGCGACGAUCUAUAGCUGGUCUGAGAGGACGACCAGCCACAUCGGGACUGAGACACGGCCCGGACUCCUACGGGAGGCAGCAGUGGGGAAUAUUGGACAAUGGGCGCAAGCCUGAUCCAGCAAUGCCGCGUGUGUGAAGAAGGCCUUAGGGUUGUAAAGCACUUUCAAUUGUGAAGAAGAGUAUAAGAUUAAUACUCUUGUACUUUGACGUUAACUUUAGAAGAAGCACCGGCUAACUCUGUGCCAGCAGCCGCGGUAAUACAGAGGGUGCAAGCGUUAAUCGGAAUUACUGGGCGUAAAGCGCGCGUAGGCGGUUAGAUAAGUCAGAUGUGAAAUCCCCGGGCUCAACCUGGGAACUGCACCUGAUACUGUUUGACUAGAGUUUGGGAGAGGGAAGUAGAAUUUCAGGUGUAGCGGUGAAAUGCAUAGAGAUCUGAAGGAAUACCAGUGGCGAAGGCGACUUCCUGGCCUAAAACUGACGCUGAGGUGCGAAAGCGUGGGUAGCAAACGGGAUUAGAUACCCCGGUAGUCCACGCCGUAAACGAUGUCAACUAGUCGUCGGUUCCCUUGAGGGAUCGGUGACGCAGCUAACGCAUUAAGUUGACCGCCUGGGGAGUACGGUCGCAAGACUAAAACUCAAAGGAAUUGACGGGGGCCCGCACAAGCGGUGGAGCAUGUGGUUUAAUUCGAUGCAACGCGAAGAACCUUACCAUCCCUUGACAUCCGGAGAAUUUGCAAGAGAUUGCUUAGUGCCUUCGGGAACUCCGUGACAGGUGCUGCACGGCUGUCGUCA
RNAcentral lists this ribosomal RNA (1023 nucleotides) under Cocleimonas sp. RNAcentral describes it as "bacterial SSU rRNA". It matches the Rfam family "Bacterial small subunit ribosomal RNA", at positions 45 to 1057 of the family's 1533-position model. The record is from RNAcentral. Lineage: Bacteria; Pseudomonadati; Pseudomonadota; Gammaproteobacteria; Thiotrichales; Thiotrichaceae.